AUCUCGCGUAACCAAUCGGAAAAAACCUUUGGAUCAAGACGACCAUCAAAAGUGGGGGCUUCAACCCUAAUGCCUCGCAUUACAUCUUCAUCAGGAUCACGAGGUUCUCUGGGUUCUACGGUAUGUCGGUGACCUCUAUCAACAUGAGGAAUGGGACCAGGUCCUCUAGGGCGAGGGAAGGCAUAAUGGUGACCUGGAACAAACCUAUUAUCAAAGUUGUCCUGCCGAACCGAGGCUUGUUGUUCUAGGAUGUCAUCCUCAUCAACACCCGGUAAAUGGGGAGUACUAGCUCUUUGGGAUUCAAUAACCCUUUGAAGUGAAACCUCAAUUGAAUC
Molecule: long non-coding RNA, 335 nt
Filed under: Phoenix dactylifera (date palm)
Lineage: Eukaryota; Viridiplantae; Streptophyta; Magnoliopsida; Arecales; Arecaceae
Description: long non-coding RNA (PDAC_LNC009600)
Source: RNAcentral